GUUGUGGCCACGAGGAACUGCUUAAAAAAGGCUGGGUUCAUUCCUUACAUCAGCCAGAGUGCACAUUAUAGAACUUGUUCCCCAUCUGGACAGAGGUCUUGAUUUCAAACGAAAGACUCUGGAGAAUGAAUUUCAAGUAUGGGACAAGGAAAAAUUGGCAGUAGUUUCUUUUUUAAUGGAAAUGCUUCCAGAUGCUCAAAUACUAGAGAGGAGGUUGCUGCUUAUAGGAACCACACAGAAAAUCAUCCAGGAAUAAUUUACAUCCAAAUGAAGUGAACUGGUUCGGCAGUGUCUCUGCAUCAUUGCUGAUAUGUGGUGCCCCAAACCUGGAAAGGACACUGGGUUCCUCCCAAAAGGUCCUGUGCCUCG
RNAcentral lists this long non-coding RNA (369 nucleotides) under Cricetulus griseus (Chinese hamster). RNAcentral describes it as "lncRNA (ENSCGRG00015042487.1)". Lineage: Eukaryota; Metazoa; Chordata; Mammalia; Rodentia; Cricetidae. The record is from RNAcentral.